UGAAGUUGUGGCUCAGUGGUAGAGUGCUUGCCUGGCAUGCAUGAGACACUGGGAUUGAUCCUCAGUACUGCAA
This 73-nucleotide transfer RNA is filed under the name Marmota monax (woodchuck). RNAcentral describes it as "tRNA.Ala". It matches the Rfam family "tRNA". Rfam says of the family: Transfer RNA (tRNA) molecules are approximately 80 nucleotides in length. Their secondary structure includes four short double-helical elements and three loops (D, anti-codon, and T loops). Further hydrogen bonds mediate the characteristic L-shaped molecular structure. tRNAs have two regions of fundamental functional importance: the anti-codon, which is responsible for specific mRNA codon recognition, and the 3' end, to which the tRNAs corresponding amino acid is attached (by aminoacyl-tRNA synthetases). tRNAs cope with the degeneracy of the genetic code in two manners: having more than one tRNA (with a specific anti-codon) for a particular amino acid; and 'wobble' base-pairing, i.e. permitting non-standard base-pairing at the 3rd anti-codon position. The record is from RNAcentral. Lineage: Eukaryota; Metazoa; Chordata; Mammalia; Rodentia; Sciuridae.